AUUGAACGCUGGCGGCAUGCUUUACACAUGCAAGUCGAACGGCAGCGCGGGCUUCGGCCUGGCGGCGAGUGGCGAACGGGUGAGUAAUGCAUCGGAACGUGCCCAGUAGUGGGGGAUAGCCCGGCGAAAGCCGGAUUAAUACCGCAUACGACCUGAGGGUGAAAGCGGGGGACCGAAAGGCCUCGCGCUAUUGGAGCGGCCGAUGUCGGAUUAGCUAGUUGGUGGGGUAAAGGCUUACCAAGGCGACGAUCCGUAGCUGGUCUGAGAGGACGACCAGCCACACUGGGACUGAGACACGGCCCAGACUCCUACGGGAGGCAGCAGUGGGGAAUUUUGGACAAUGGGGGCAACCCUGAUCCAGCCAUGCCGCGUGCGGGAAGAAGGGCUUCGGGUUGUAAACCGCUUUUGUUCGGGAAGAAAUCCUCUGGGCUAAUACCCCGGGGGGAUGACGGUACCGGAAGAAUAAGCACCGGCUAACUACGUG
RNAcentral lists this ribosomal RNA (484 nucleotides) under uncultured bacterium. Its description in RNAcentral is "partial 16S ribosomal RNA". It matches the Rfam family "Bacterial small subunit ribosomal RNA", at positions 28 to 507 of the family's 1533-position model. The record is from RNAcentral.